Long non-coding RNA from Sinocyclocheilus grahami, 236 nucleotides. RefSeq lists it as uncharacterized. Lineage: Eukaryota; Metazoa; Chordata; Actinopteri; Cypriniformes; Cyprinidae. The transcript is spliced from 3 exons. The record is from RefSeq and is a predicted model, not a curated record.
AUUUCAUCAGACCAGCAUCUGUGCUAAACUUGCAAAAAAUGACAUCUUUGGCUCUGGUUUUGGUAUUUUGUGCCUUUGUCUCUUUAAGCAAUUCUGCCUGCUACUUGACCCUUCUAAAACAAGGGGAAAAACAUUGUGUCGAUGACUAUGAUAACUCCAAGCAUCCAAUGGGAAGUACUUGGACAAACGGCAGAUGUAACAGAUGUAUCUGCUCCCUCGGGGAAAUGGAGUGCUGU